UGUUUGGGAAUGCAGCUCUAAUUUGGUGGUAAGUCCCAUCUAAGACUAAAUACUGGCGAGAGACCGAUAGCGAGCAAGUACCGUGAGGGAAAGAUGAAAAGAACUUUGAAAAGAGAGUUAAAAAGUGCUUGAAAUUGUAGAGGGGGAAGUCAUUAACGGCUGUGGGUGCACCCGGGCUCAAAGUACCUUAACGGGUACCUGAAAGUGCCGGGAGCUGGUCAGCAUGGGUUCAGCCUGGGAGAUAAACCUUUCUGUGUCGAAAGUCUAUGUCCCGGGUGGGAUCGAGGAACGAAUGUUGCUUUGCCUUCGAGCUGCAACAUCAAGAUGCUGGCGGAAGGCUGUUAAUGAGCCCGUCUUGAAACACGGACC
This 369-nucleotide ribosomal RNA is filed under the name uncultured Acrosiphoniales. RNAcentral describes it as "eukaryotic LSU rRNA". It matches the Rfam family "Eukaryotic large subunit ribosomal RNA", at positions 271 to 667 of the family's 3401-position model. Lineage: Eukaryota; Viridiplantae; Chlorophyta; Ulvophyceae; Ulotrichales. The record is from RNAcentral.